CCUACGGGAGGCAGCAGUGGGGAAUAUUGGACAAUGGGCGGAACCCUGAUCCAGCAACGCCGCGUGAGUGAAGAAGUCCUUCGGGAUGUAAAGUUCUUUUAGCAGGGAGGAAAAUUACGGUAACUUACUAAGAAGCCCCGGCUAACUACGUGCCAGCAGCCGCGGUCAUACGUAGGGGGCAAGCGUUACCCGGAUUUACUGGGGGUAACGGGAGCGAAGACGGUGCAGCAAGUCGGGUGUGAAAGGUUUGGGCCCAACCCCGGGACUGCAAUGGAAACUGUUGGACUGGAGUACGGGAGAGGUAAGCGGAAUUCCUGGUGUAGCGGUGAAAUGCAUAGAUAUUAGAAGGAACACCAGUGGCGAAGGCGGCUUACUGGACUGUAACUGACGUUGAGGCUCGAAAGCGUGGGGAGCAAACAGGAUUAGAUACCCGUGUAGUC
RNAcentral lists this ribosomal RNA (440 nucleotides) under uncultured bacterium. RNAcentral's name for it is "partial 16S ribosomal RNA". It matches the Rfam family "Bacterial small subunit ribosomal RNA", at positions 338 to 795 of the family's 1533-position model. The record is from RNAcentral.